RNAcentral lists this ribosomal RNA (147 nucleotides) under uncultured bacterium. Its description in RNAcentral is "partial 16S ribosomal RNA". It matches the Rfam family "Bacterial small subunit ribosomal RNA", at positions 337 to 481 of the family's 1533-position model. The record is from RNAcentral.
UCCUACGGGAGGCAGCAGUAAGGAAUAUUGGUCAAUGGACGCAAGUCUGAACCAGCCAUGCCGCGUGGAGGAUGAAGGUCCUCUGGAUUGUAAACUUCUUUUAUAUGGGACGAAAAAGGGCCUUUCUAGGUCAACUGACGGUACCAU